CGGCUGCUGUUGCUACGGCAGCUGCAUGGGAGGCGGCAAGGGUGGGCUGUUCGUCUAGGAGUUGCUCUGCUUGCAUCCACCACGCGCGCGGAAUGCCUAGCUGGAGGGCUUUCAUGGCUUGCUCAGUUGCAGCCACAAUGCCGAGAGGGUGGCCCAACAUGAAGGCGCUCACUCGAGCGUGGGGCAUGCUUGGAGGGGGGAGGACAUGGUCAACCAACCCUCUGCUGCCCCUGGGGCGGUCAGAGUUGCGCCAAUCCUGCAGCCUCCGGGACAGGGAGACGGCAUCUAUCACUGUGGAG
This 299-nucleotide long non-coding RNA is filed under the name Dunaliella salina. Its description in RNAcentral is "long non-coding RNA (DSAL_LNC000402)". The record is from RNAcentral. Lineage: Eukaryota; Viridiplantae; Chlorophyta; Chlorophyceae; Chlamydomonadales; Dunaliellaceae.